Pelobates cultripes (western spadefoot toad) is the source of this 225-nucleotide non-coding RNA. Lineage: Eukaryota; Metazoa; Chordata; Amphibia; Anura; Pelobatidae. The record is from the annotation of a GenBank genome assembly.
GGGAGACCAACAUAUUAAAAACUCAGUCCAUUCGGUUCAGCCGUUCGGGAGAUAUAGGACUUAGAAGUUUUGACCGACUGCACGGGCAAAGUAGCCGAAAACAGUUCCAUGAAUUCUGGCCCUGCAGUCGGUCUUAGAUCGCAUGAAAAACCUCCCGAAUGGCCGGCCAUCCAGCUACCAUCCUUGGUUCGCUUGAUUCCCCAUCUGUUGGUAAGUCUUUCUACC